This 497-nucleotide ribosomal RNA is filed under the name uncultured bacterium. RNAcentral describes it as "partial 16S ribosomal RNA". It matches the Rfam family "Bacterial small subunit ribosomal RNA", at positions 28 to 507 of the family's 1533-position model. The record is from RNAcentral.
GAUGAACGCUGGCGGCGUGCCUAAUACAUGCAAGUCGAGCGAACAGAUGAGGAGCUUGCUCCACUGACGUUAGCGGCGGACGGGUGAGUAACACGUGGUUAACCUACCUCUAAGACUGGGAUAACUUCGGGAAACCGGAGCUACUACCGGAUAAUAUAUUGAACCGCAUGGUUCAAUAGUGAAAUACGGUUUUGCUGUCCCUUAUAGCUGGCUCCGCGUCGCAUGAGCUAGUUGGUAAGGUAACGGCUUACCAAGGCAACGAUGCGUAGCCGACCUGACAGGGGGAUCGGGCACACUGGAGGUGAGAGACGGCACAGACUCCUACAGGAGGCAGAGGUAGGGAAUCUUGCGCGAUGGGCGAAAGCCUGACCGAGCGACGCCGGGUGAAUGAUGAAGGUCUUCGGAUGGUAUAACGCUGUUAGUAGGGAAGAACAAAUGUGUAAGUAACGAUGCACGUCUUGACGGUACCUAGACAAGAAGCCACGGCUAACUACGUG